AGAGCAUGCCUGAGAGACGGGAUCCCUGAGUCUGCAGAGGAGCCGGGCAGCAUGAGAAAUCACUAAACAAAUCCGUCAGAGCAAAACCGUGGUGUGGAGGAUGGUCUAUUGGAUGCGAUCCACUGGGGCAAAGAUUUAUUAGGCGGACAACCCCUUCUUCUACCCAACAGCAAAUCCAUUACAAUAAUGGGCUUCGAACCCAUCUGCAGGCAAACAGCGGGUCAGGAGGAGCCCGAUGUGUGGACACUGAGCAAUCUGAACAUGGCUGCCUUUUACAAUGUGUGAAGCCAGGCAGAAAAGCAGCACAUUUGAUUGAGAACAGAGGAGAGCGGCCAGAAUCUGCCUUCCCUUUGCUCCCGCUUCCGGGGGGAUUCAUGGCGGGGGAUCUGGAGGCGACACUUGGCAGCCAAGGGCGUGGGGCCAAAUGGAGGGCCCGGAACUCAGAAAGAGAGGAGGGGGAGCUAAUUAAUGCUUUGUCCUGCCUGCCCUUCUCUCCUCCCUACCCCCAGCGGCCAACAACUA
RNAcentral lists this long non-coding RNA (522 nucleotides) under Homo sapiens (human). RNAcentral's name for it is "HSALNT0168671". The record is from RNAcentral. Lineage: Eukaryota; Metazoa; Chordata; Mammalia; Primates; Hominidae.